CACAGCGCUGCGCUGCGGGCUGACUCACUGGGGGAACUUUGGACAUCAACUCCUGCGCUUUGCUUUGCUUUGCUUUGCUUCGCUUCUCUUUUCCUUUCAACUUUUUCUUUCUUUCUUUCUUUCUGCCCGGAUUUUGUGAUUAGGAGCUAAAUAAGCAGAGAGAAAGCCCAAAAUAAAAUAAAAUACCGAAAAAAAAAACCCCAAACCAAACCGAACAGACCUCUAUACCCCGCCGGAGGGCAGACGGUAAAAACAACGCGUUUUCGCCGAGCGGAGCUGCGCGCAUUUCUCUUUUAUUUUUUGGAGCGAAGAGAGAAAAAAAAAAAAAAGAGAGAGAGAGAGAGAGAGAAAAAAAAGCCUCUACAGUCGCCAGGGUUACAAGGCAACUCUUCCCCCUCUCUGCAGACCUUUGAGAGGGGAAUGAGCUCUUCUGCACAUCCAGACGUCUGCUGUUGUUUGUCCGGUCUCUUCCCACUGGGGGGCACAGGACUCCAUUCUCCAGCAGAUCUGUUCCAGGCAUCUCUUUAUGUCAAGGCAAAGGUAAUUUGGACAUCUAAGUUUUGUUUUGUUUUUCUUUCAGAUUGUAUCCAUGAAUGUGUGUAUAAUGAACCCAGAAGGAAUGCAGCACUAAAAGAAGCCUUUGUAAUGUUGCUAUUUUAAGGAGACCCUUGGGUAUGGCACGUGUUGAACUGAGUUUCUCCAACAUCUUACAACAAACCAAAAUGUUUAGAUCCUCCUACUGAUGUAAGACAGCAUAAAAAAAAUACAUAAUCAAUCUAAACUGGCUAAGGUUUUGACCAGGAAUUAUUGCUCCUGUGAAUUGGCUCUGUAUUGUAGCUAACUUUUACACGGCCUAAUAAUAAACAUCUCCUCCUCCCAGCUGGGUGAAUGUUUCCCCUCUGCUGGAGAUCAGGUCCCAGCCUGGAUAAAACACCUCUUGUCCUUUCUCUCCUCGGUCACUCAGGUUCAGUGAAACAUCAUGACUUACAUCAGCCAAAGCCUUUGAUCAGGGAGGGAAAGGUCUGACAUGGAUGGGGUUGGCAGCCACGCUGCAAGAAUCCCUCAUUGUGCAAGAAGCCAGUCCAAUGACCGACUGUCACCAAGGGUGAGACAGCCUUUUCUGCUCUGUUUGCUCUGUUUUCACUUGGCUAUUGCUGGCGUUUUGUUUGCAAAAUCAAGGCCAAAAUAUACAAGAAGCAGCUUCGAACAUGUUGGGUUUGUGCAUUAAGCCAGAUAGCCAUCAUUAAUUUCUGGCCAUUUUUGUUGUAUGUGUUGUAAAGAGCAGAAUUUUGCUGUCAGCAUUUUGUUUUCACAUGGUCAGAGAGGAGAAGGAGUAUAAUAGAGGUCCAAUUGACACUGUUUACACAAAGAUGAAGUCGUAACUCUUGGCUGAGAUGACUGUGGAAGUGGUGUGUGAUGGCUUCUUUGUUGGCUCUUUAAGAAAACAUCUGCUCUGGAACUCGUGGACAAAAUCUAGGGUGAAAAAUUCUCUCAUUGCAAAAUGAGAAGCCGGAUGAAAAGCCCAGAGAAGCUGUGGGUGCUCCAUCUCUGGAGGUGCUCAAGGCCAGGUUGGAUGGGGCCCUGGGCUGCCUGAUCUGGAAGGUGGUAAUCCUGCCCAUGGCCCCGGGUUGGGACUGGAUGACCUUUGAGGAUGUUUCCAGCCUAGGCCGUUCUAUGAUUCUAUGAGUUUCUCCAAUAGCAUCCAGCACUCAAGGAACAGGGCUGCUUUGGAAAUGUAUGUCAGAAUAAGAAAAAUACAUUUUUUGUACUCACACAUUGAACAGCGAAUGAAUGCUCAAGAAGAAUGAGGGUGAGAAUUGAAUCCAUUAAAACACUUUCUGGGACAAUAUUUUUGCUUUCAGCAGCUUUCUCUUCUGCUUUGCUUCAAUUCCUUCUAAACGCUGCUCCCCUUCCUCCAGGUGGUAUGAAAUAAAAA
Molecule: long non-coding RNA, 1936 nt
Organism: Gallus gallus (chicken)
Lineage: Eukaryota; Metazoa; Chordata; Aves; Galliformes; Phasianidae
Source: Ensembl